GGCGAGCCUAAUACAUGCAAGUCGAGCGAACAGACGAGAGUGCUUGCACUCUCUGAUGUUAGCGGCGGACGGGUGAGUAACACGUGGGUAACCUACCUAUAAGACUGGGAUAACUUCGGGAAACCGGAGCUAAUACCGGAUAAUAUUUCUCNNANAUGAAG
RNAcentral lists this ribosomal RNA (161 nucleotides) under Macrococcus sp. Its description in RNAcentral is "partial 16S ribosomal RNA". It matches the Rfam family "Bacterial small subunit ribosomal RNA", at positions 41 to 197 of the family's 1533-position model. Lineage: Bacteria; Bacillati; Bacillota; Bacilli; Caryophanales; Staphylococcaceae. The record is from RNAcentral.